UUUGUUUGGAGGUUGGUUGGCCAUGGCUAUAACUUAUGGCUUGACUAAAUUGAUUGGUUCUAGUGGUCUUUAACUGGAAUUACCUACCAAAUUAUCCAUAGUUUUUUGAUAAUCUAUUGCUAAAUAACUUUAGCCAGUGGAUUUUAUCAUUAAGCUACUGAGUUUGUCUGUCGCUAAAUCGUGUUUUAUCUAGUUAUAUAUGCUACUAAAUAUUAAUUGUGGCAUAAU
Molecule: unclassified non-coding RNA, 228 nt
Filed under: Hevea brasiliensis (rubber tree)
Lineage: Eukaryota; Viridiplantae; Streptophyta; Magnoliopsida; Malpighiales; Euphorbiaceae
Source: RNAcentral